This 74-nucleotide transfer RNA is filed under the name Candidatus Iainarchaeum sp. RNAcentral describes it as "tRNA-Ala". It matches the Rfam family "tRNA". From Rfam's summary of the family: Transfer RNA (tRNA) molecules are approximately 80 nucleotides in length. Their secondary structure includes four short double-helical elements and three loops (D, anti-codon, and T loops). Further hydrogen bonds mediate the characteristic L-shaped molecular structure. tRNAs have two regions of fundamental functional importance: the anti-codon, which is responsible for specific mRNA codon recognition, and the 3' end, to which the tRNAs corresponding amino acid is attached (by aminoacyl-tRNA synthetases). tRNAs cope with the degeneracy of the genetic code in two manners: having more than one tRNA (with a specific anti-codon) for a particular amino acid; and 'wobble' base-pairing, i.e. permitting non-standard base-pairing at the 3rd anti-codon position. Lineage: Archaea; Nanobdellati; Candidatus Iainarchaeota; Candidatus Iainarchaeia; Candidatus Iainarchaeales; Candidatus Iainarchaeaceae. The record is from RNAcentral.
GGGCCCUUAGCUCAGUCUGGUAGAGCGCCUCGUUUGCACCGAGGAGGCCGCGUGUUCGAAUCACGCAGGGUCCA